Molecule: microRNA, 21 nt
Filed under: Cordylochernes scorpioides
Lineage: Eukaryota; Metazoa; Arthropoda; Arachnida; Pseudoscorpiones; Chernetidae
Source: RNAcentral
GUUCGAAUCUCGCCGGUGCCU